Molecule: ribosomal RNA, 433 nt
Filed under: uncultured bacterium
Lineage: Bacteria
Description: partial 16S ribosomal RNA
Rfam family: Bacterial small subunit ribosomal RNA
Source: RNAcentral
AACGAACGCUGGCGGCUUGCCUAACACAUGCAAGUCGAACGAGACCUUCGGGUCUAGUGGCGCACGGGUGCGUAACGCGUGGGAACCUGCCCUUAGGUUCGGAAUAACUCCCCGAAAGGGGUGCUAAUACCGGAUAAUGUCUUCGGACCAAAGAUUUAUCGCCUUUGGAUGGGCCCGCGUUGGAUUAGCUAGUUGGUAGGGUAAAAGCCUACCAAGGCGACGAUCCAUAGCUGGUCUGAGAUGAUGAUCAGCCACACUGGGACUGAGACACGGCCCAGACUCCUACGGGAGGCAGCAGUGGGGAAUAUUGGACAAUGGGCGAAAGCCUGAUCCAGCAAUGCCGCGUGAGUGAUGAAGGCCUUAGGGUUGUAAAGCUCUUUUACCCGGGAUGAUAAUGACAGUACCGGGAGAAUAAGCUCCGGCUAACUCCGUG